GAUGAACGCUAGCUACAGGCUUAACACAUGCAAGUCGAGGGGAAACGAUAUUGGAAGCUUGCUUCUGAUAGGCGUCGACCGGCGCACGGGUGAGUAACGCGUAUCCAACCUGCCCAUCACUUGGGGAUAACCUUGUGAAAGUAAGACUAAUACCCAAUGACGUCUCUAGAGGACAUCUGAAAGAGAUUAAAGAUUUAUCGGUGAUGGAUGGGGAUGCGUCUGAUUAGCUUGUUGGCGGGGUAACGCCCACAAGGCGACGAUCAGUAGGGUCUGAGAGGAAGGUCCCCCANAUUGGAACUGAGACACGGUCCAAAAUCCUACGGGA
This 325-nucleotide ribosomal RNA is filed under the name uncultured bacterium. RNAcentral's name for it is "bacterial SSU rRNA". It matches the Rfam family "Bacterial small subunit ribosomal RNA", at positions 28 to 346 of the family's 1533-position model. The record is from RNAcentral.